AUUGAAUGAAAUCCUCCUUGUCUACCAUGAGAGUGGUCAUAGAAUAAAAAUUCCAGAUAGGCUAAUCAUAGCACAAACAUUUACUGAGGUUCCAAGCUGGGACAUCUGGGAGAACAACUAUGGAGCAAAAUGCUAAAAAGAAAAGGUGCAUUCAUCCUAACUGGGAGAGCUUUCACCCCGGAGUGGCCAGGGGAAGUGCUGUCUUCAUUUGGCCAGCAAUAAUUAAUGGAAGGAAUUCCCAGCAAGUCCACUCUUGGACUUGAAGGCUUCUUUCAGACAGCAGGCAGAAAACCUGGCUUUAAAAGAGGAGCUCAGGCAGGAAGCAGCAAUGUUCCAGGAGGAUUUCUGAGUCAAGCAGGAGAGCAACUGGCUUCUUGAUGUGUAAAUUUCAAAGAUCCCUAAAACCCUUGGCUGCACAGCCAG
This 423-nucleotide long non-coding RNA is filed under the name Parus major (Great Tit). RNAcentral's name for it is "lncRNA (ENSPMJG00000006186.1)". The record is from RNAcentral. Lineage: Eukaryota; Metazoa; Chordata; Aves; Passeriformes; Paridae.